This is a long non-coding RNA of Cercocebus atys (sooty mangabey), 2025 nucleotides long. RefSeq lists it as uncharacterized. The record is from RefSeq and is a predicted model, not a curated record. Lineage: Eukaryota; Metazoa; Chordata; Mammalia; Primates; Cercopithecidae. The transcript is spliced from 4 exons.
CCCCAGCUGAUGUGGAGCUCUUCUUUGAAGAUGUCCAGCAAACGAAUGAAGAAUUACAGAAUUUGAAAACUUCACAAACUCUAAUAAAUGAUUCAGGCAAUAAUCCUCAAUGAAUAUGAAAACCAUUAAUAGGUUGAUGAGGAACUCAUUAUCACAGGACACCAGAAACUCAAGUGCACCAGCUGCUCCGUGGCUGAAGGGAGAAGGCAGAUCUUCACAAGACAGUGGCCGACUCUCAGCAUGCACCCCGCUGGCGUGAGACCCCCAGUGGAGGCAAGCAGGCCUCACACGAUGGUAGAAUGUGGCCAUCUAUGCAGAGCUCCCCACGAGGGACUCUGCUUCAAAAGGCACAGACUGACUCAAACUAAGGCUUUGGAUCUAAGUUCCAGUUCUCAGGAAACACAGGAACAUGGCACCCAACACCACACAGGAGCAGCCAGGACAUCUGGAAAGUGAGAGCGCCCGGAGGAAACCCGGCCUGCACACUCCUCUGCCGUCCGAGAAGGGGCCCAGGAGAGACCCGGGUCGACCAGGACCCAAGGAUUGAGAACAAUGGACUUUUUGAUGUGUGUUGCAACAAAUGCAUAGCCGAGAGCUGUAAAUCGGAGGGACCACCAGGUCUGCCCACCAGCCACGAGGGAAGUGGGGAGAAGCUGUCACCCCAACUUGAGUUUCAAGAAGACUCCUUGGAGGAAAAGACCACCAAAUUGAGAAUGAAAAGAUCAUACAUGGGCAUCGUCAGACAUGGUCUGAGACCUGCUGGGAAGAACAGCAGCCUGGCCCUGCUACCCCCUGGCUUCUGCUCACAGCACUGACCCCAGUUAAUCCAAGAACAUGUCAACUAUAAUGAGAAUAUUGAAGAAAAAUCAACCAUCUUCCAGAUGUGUCUAUAUCAUGAUACGGUACAUGGGUAAGGACAGUAAGUUGUAACUAUUCUUGAGAUGGGGCAGUGGCUCCAUGCUCUGGCCCCUCACCUCAGCAGAUGUCCCAGCUCAUCACCCUGAGUGCCAGCUUUCCCAUCCCAUCUCAGGAUCUGCACUGGACGGGCACCAGGGCUUUCUUCAGUGAACAUCUAAACUCUCUCAAGUGUCUCCAGAGACUUUCACACAUCUACAAAGAUGACCUCAUUCUGUAAGAGUGUGGAUUUAACCUGCUCUUCGAUGUCACUCCUUCACAGAGUGCACUGUUCAUCGUCACCCUAUCCACUAGCGUCAGUCUUACUAAAAGUCAAACAUCAACGUUAGUGGUAACUCUGGAGGCCUGGCAUUGUAGCGUUAUCCACAAGAGAAAAUUGUUUUAAACCUUUCUGGGAAAAGUUCACGUACCUUUUAUUAAAAAGCUAGUUUUUAUAAUCUCUCUACCAUGUGGCUUUCCUGAAGAAUGAAAUUUCUAACGUCCUUCAAGUAGAGAGAGGUAAACAUUUUUCUAGAACAUUAAUUGCCCACUCUUCUCAUCCCUUCUCAGAAACUAACUGAAUUCCAGUGGGUGUGCCUGGCAAACCCAAACACGGUUUUCCGUUCAGGAUGCUGGUCUUACCUGUGAAGGCGUUCAUGAACGUGGAGAGGGACCGGUUCAACACUUUGAAGAAAGGGUCUCUGCACGGAUAUUUCCGAGACCCACAAAUGACGGUAUGCUUAAGAAUGUGAGGAACAACGGUACUGUCCAUGGGAGUGGUACGGAACUGCACGCUAAGGAAGAAGGAACGGCAUGCCAGGGAAGGGGGGGAACAAGAAACAGAAGGCUAGGGAAGGGGGAGGAACAGAACGCUAGGGAAGGAGAAUGACUAGAAUACAAAACGUUAAUCUUAGUGCUGCGGACACCCUUCCCAGAUGCAUCAUCACCUCGGGCUACUAGAAAUCAUCAUUCUGACACCACAAUCCUCCAACCCAGGGUUUCCCAACUCUAAUGUAAAUCAUUGAUUUAGACUAUAAAAUUGUAUUUUGAUGAGAUUGUAAGUCCAUGUAAGCUUUUCCUUAUUUUUCAAGAUGCUCUGUCAAUAAAAAUACUAGUGAGAUGAUAUUUAAA